RNAcentral lists this ribosomal RNA (477 nucleotides) under Escherichia coli. RNAcentral's name for it is "bacterial LSU rRNA". It matches the Rfam family "Bacterial large subunit ribosomal RNA", at positions 1 to 508 of the family's 2925-position model. Lineage: Bacteria; Pseudomonadati; Pseudomonadota; Gammaproteobacteria; Enterobacterales; Enterobacteriaceae. The record is from RNAcentral.
GGGUUGUGAGGUUAAGCGACUAAGCGUACACGGUGGAUGCCCUGGCAGUCAGAGGCGAUGAAGGACGUGCUAAUCUGCGAUAAGCGUCGGUAAGGUGAUAUGAACCGUUAUAACCGGCGAUUUCCGAAUGGGGAAACCCAGUGUGUUUCGGCACACUAUCAUUAACUGAAUCCAUAGGUUAAUGAGGCGAACCGGGGGAACUGAAACAUCUAAGUACCCCGAGGAAAAGAAAUCAACCGAGAUUCCCCCAGUAGCGGCGAGCGAACGGGGAGGAGCCCAGAGCCUGAAUCAGUGUGUGUGUUAGUGGAAGCGUCUGGAAAGGCGCGCGAUACAGGGUGACAGCCCCGUACACAAAAAUGCACAUAUUGUGAGCUCGAUGAGUAGGGCGGGACACGUGGUAUCCUGUCUGAAUAUGGGGGGACCAUCCUCCAAGGCUAAAUACUCCUGACUGACCGAUAGUGAACCAGUACCGUGAGG